RNAcentral lists this ribosomal RNA (246 nucleotides) under Ctenomyces serratus. Its description in RNAcentral is "partial large subunit ribosomal RNA". It matches the Rfam family "Eukaryotic large subunit ribosomal RNA", at positions 105 to 349 of the family's 3401-position model. The record is from RNAcentral. Lineage: Eukaryota; Fungi; Ascomycota; Eurotiomycetes; Onygenales; Arthrodermataceae.
AAGCUCAAUUUGAAUCUGGCUCUUUCAGAGUCCGAGUUGUAAUUUGAAGAAGGUAUCUUUGGGUCUGGCUCUUGUCUAUGUUUCUUGGAACAGAACGUCACAGAGGGUGAGAAUCCCGUGCGAUGAGAUGAUCCAGGCCUAUGUAAAGUUCCUUCGAAGAGUCGAGUUGUUUGGGAAUGCAGCUCUAAGUGGGUGGUAAAUUCCAUCUAAAGCUAAAUAUUGGCGAGAGACCGAUAGCGAACAAGA